UACGGAGGGUGCAAGCGUUGUCCGGAUUUAUUGGGUUUAAAGGGUGCGUAGGCGGCCUGUUAAGUCAGAGGUGAAAUCCCGGGGCUCAACCCCGGAACUGCCUUUGAUACUGGCAGGCUUGAGUUCGGUAGAGGCGGGCGGAACUCAUGGUGUAGCGGUGAAAUGCAUAGAUACCAUGAAGAACUCCGAUUGCGAAGGCAGCUCGCUGUGCCGAAACUGACGCUGAGGCACGAAAGCGUGGGGAGCGAAC
Molecule: ribosomal RNA, 250 nt
Filed under: uncultured Pontibacter sp.
Lineage: Bacteria; Pseudomonadati; Bacteroidota; Cytophagia; Cytophagales; Hymenobacteraceae
Description: partial 16S ribosomal RNA
Rfam family: Bacterial small subunit ribosomal RNA
Source: RNAcentral